UUUAUGACUUAAGUCCUAUUAGCACUAAGCUCUUCAUUUAAAAACUUGUAAUACAGUGUAUAUCAGAAAAAGAAUGUUAUCUUUUAAUUUAAUACGCAAUGAGUUUUAAUUUUAUGUAUAUUAAAUUUGCUUUUUUUAGAUCUAAGUAAUUAGAUUUGAAUAGGGUUUUUAAGUGUUGUGUCACUAGAUGCAAAGGUAACUACAAUGUUACAAGGUCAGUGAAAUUAUUUGGCCUUUUAAAUAAAAAGAAUGUGAAAGAAGAAAAAAAAUAGAUAAGUGUUAUACUUUGAGGUAAUGUUUCAGAUAGCUCAAAUAAUUUUGUUUAUGAAGAUCAUUGGCCUAAAAAGUAGUUCAAGUCAAAUUCCAACUCCACAGACACCACCAAUUUGUUCAAGUCAAAUUCCAACUCCACAGACACCACCAACACUAACUAAUAAAUCAUAGCCAUCUUUAAAAAGUGCUGUGCCUGAUAAAAUAAAGAUUUUUGUGAAUGGGGACAAUAUUACAUUAUUCAAAGAUUUGUAUAGUAAAAUGUCUACUUUUUCCAUUUCAGUAAUAUUAAGUAUCUAUGAAAACUGUUUACAUCUUCAAUUUGCUAUAUUCUAUUGGACCAAAAUUUAUUUUGCCUGUAUUAGUCAUCUUCAUGCUGUAUUAGUCAUCUUCAUGCUGCAUUAGUCAUUUUUAUGUUGCAUUACACUAUCUGAAUUCUUUACCAAUUGGUCACAGGAAAAGUAUUAUUAUUGGACAGGUGUUAAGUAUGAACUCAUUACUGUUUAUUGGUAAAAAAAAGUAUUCUCCUGAUAUGGUUGCCAGGGCAUUUGAGUACUUUUUAUUGUCAAGAACUCUUUACUUUUGAUUACCUGAUGACUAUAAACUACCAAGUAUAUCACUGAUCCUAAAAUUGACAUCUAAAAAUAGAAAGACAGGUUAUCCUACUAAUUGAUGAAAUUUAUGUUAUAUGACAGUUUAAUUAUCAAUGAGGAAACAUUUUUGGUAAAUCUGUUAAUUUCGAAAUGAAUUAACAAAAACAGUUUUGGGUAUAAUAAUUUGUUUUUGGUGAAAAACAGUUUUUGUAUAAAGCAUUAGCAGUAACAGGUUUAGAUGCUAAUUUUCAAUAUAAUCAAACAACGCAAAUGUUUGAAGUGUGUUUCUGUUAUUGCUAUUCUUGGCAACAAUAACAAAAUAAAUAAAAAAUUUUUUGCAAUGUUUAAUCUUCAAAAUACUUGGUGCAUUUAUGAAAACAAAAGAUAUUUUAAAAAACAUAAUGAAAUAUAAUAAGAAGCUAAAGUAGUUACAGUCGACUCUUGAUAUCUCGAAUACUUGGUAUCUCGAACUUUUGAGUAUCUCAAACUUUUUUAGCUGUCCUAUGGACAUAAUGUACUAGUUUAGGCUAAAAUCCUCUCGAUAUCUCGAACCUUAAUAUCUCAAACUUUUUGGUAUCUCGAACAAUAUUUUCGGUCCACAGGGCAAUUUUCUCUCGUUAUCUCGAACUAUUCAACAUUUUUUUUUUCAAAAAUGUUUUAAUAAAAUUUAAUUUUUUUAAAAUUCCAAUUUUUCGAAAAAAAAAAAAAUUUAAUUCGAUUUUUUAAUUCGAUUUUUUUUAAGAAUCGAAUUUCUGAAAAGUUUUCCUUUAAUAUAUUGAUUUAUUCUUUUUGUCUAACGCAACAACAUGCCGCUCGUUAAACGAAAACUCACGAACAAAUCUAUAAAAGAAAAAUGCAAGGCAUUAAAAGACCUAGAGACAGGGAUGUCUAACAAAGAGGUUGCCAAAAAGUAUGGAGUCCCAAAGAACACAUUAUCAACCUGGAUUAAAAAUAAAACCAAGUUAUUAACCUCACUGGAAAUAAAAUGGCACUAAAUCUAAACGGAAGAAACUUUGUAGUGGUAAUUUCAAAAAUGUAGACAAGGCCAUAUACACGUGGUUCGUUGCAAAAAAAAGUCAACAAGUACCAAUUGAUGGUAUCAUACUAAAAGAAAAAGCACUAAAAUUCGCAGAAGCAUUAGGAGAGUUGGAUUUUAAAGCAUCUGAUUGUUGGUUUCAUAAUUUGAAAGAAAGUUAGCACUCCUAGUGGAUAACUGUUCUGCCCACCCACACAUUGAAGGGCUAAGCAACAUCAACCUAAUAUUUUCCCCCCUAACACCACAUCUGUCCUUCACCCCAUGAAUCAAGGCAUAAUACGAAGUCUUAAAGCUAAUUGUCGUCACAAAAUUGCGCGUUUGUGUAUCAAGGCUAUCAAUAAUAACGAACCCAUGCCAAAAAUUUCUAUACUUCAAGCAAUGAAGAUCUUGUUUCUUUGUGGAAUGCUGUGUUGAAGGAGACUGUCAUCAACUGCUUUAAAAAAGCUGGUAUCAGCAAAACAAACAAGAGUAUGGAAGAAGCUGAUGAUGAUCAUCCUUUUAAAUUUUUGACAGAAGAACUUAACAGUUUGCAAGAGUUAAAUCCUCAUGCCAUUCAAGAAGAUCUCUCAGCGGAAUCUUACAUUGGUUUAAAUUGCGAUGUAGUAACCACCGGUUCACUUGCUACUGAUGCUGAAAUCAUUGCUCAGAUUUUAGACCCUAAUUUUAAAAAUGACGAUAAUUAAGUUGAAGAUAGCGUUGACGAAGUUAUUGACGUCGAAGCCCCGCCACGCCCAUCUGAUAUUCAAUUAAAAAUUGCUUUUGAAACGAUUCAAAAUGCUUCGCUAUACAGCUCAAAAUACGGAAAUGAAAUACAAUCCCUAGCACUAAAACUUGAGGAUUUAAUGAAGAUGGAAAAGAUGGAUAAUUUAAAGCAAUAUCAGAUAACAGAUUUUUUCCAAAA
Non-coding RNA from Hydra vulgaris (swiftwater hydra), 2800 nucleotides. Lineage: Eukaryota; Metazoa; Cnidaria; Hydrozoa; Anthoathecata; Hydridae. The record is from RefSeq and is a predicted model, not a curated record.